AUGCAAGACCCGGUUAUGGUGGCCACUGGGCAGACUUACGACCGAGGCAGCAUAGUGAGAUGGUUGGACGCCGGGCACGACACUUGUCCGAGAACGCAGCAGAAGCUUGUUAACAAAUCUCUAACUCCAAAUUAUGCUCUUUACGGCCUGAUUGUCCAAUGGUGUCGAGCAAACGGUUUGGAGCAGCCGAAACGCUCGGCUCAAGUUAGCAGUGAUGACAGUGAUGCAAUGCCGGCAUCACUUGCCUAUUCUGAGCAAGAUGUAGUUGCCAGCCUUGUUCGGAGACUAUCAGAUUCCCAAAAUGUUGUAGGCCAGCGUGAAGCUGCCGGUACGCUUUGUCUUCUUGCCAAGGGCAAUUCUAAAUAUCAAGCGUGUAUAGGAGAUUCUUGCGGCAUUCCUAUCCUGGUGAGCCUGUUGUGGAUAGAUGAUAUCAGCACCCAGGAACAUGUUGUUACUGCUCUCCUGGAUUUAUCUGUUUCUAAUUACGAGAACAAGGAAAAAUUGGUCUUGGCCGGGGCUAUUCCUGGAGUUGUGUACGUGCUAGAGACGGGCAGCAUGGUUGCCCGGGAGAAUGCUGCCGCAAUGUUGUCCAGCCUAUCCACUGGGAAAGAAAGCGAGCUGAUCAUUGGGGCUGCCGGAUCAAUUCCGCCUCUCAUUCUGCUGUUGACUAGUGGGAGUCAACAGGGUAAAAGGAAUGCUUCGCGAACACUAAUGGGUCUGUUCGUCGAGCCAGACAACAAGAGUAUAGCUAUUAGAGCUGGGUUCGUCCCUGUACUGCUAGAGCUUCUAACAGGAACUGAUGAUGGAAUCGGUUCCAUCUUUAUGUUGGAAAUUCUGUAG
This 840-nucleotide ribosomal RNA is filed under the name Triticum aestivum (bread wheat). RNAcentral describes it as "partial small subunit ribosomal RNA". The record is from RNAcentral. Lineage: Eukaryota; Viridiplantae; Streptophyta; Magnoliopsida; Poales; Poaceae.